GUCGGCCCGGACGAAACGGUUCGCUAUUGACAGUACACCGGAAUAUCCGCAGAUCCGUGCUAGCCUGGAGACUGGAUGUCCAUCGACAUCCAUGAAUGAAAGAAGUAAAUGUAUGGCACAGGGAACUGUGAAAUGGUUCGACAGCGAUAAGGGCUUCGGUUUCAUCGCUCCCGACGACGGUGCGAAGGAUGUCUUCGUACACUUCUCGGAAAUCCAGGGAAAUGGUUAUCGCUCGCUUGACGAAAACCAGCGAGUGGAGUUCACGGUCGAACAGGGCGCCAAAGGCCCUCAGGCUACGGGCGUAACCACCCUCUAAAGCUUGCACGAUCGUUGUGGGCCGGUCGGGAAAUCUCCCGCCGGCCCACA
Molecule: non-coding RNA, 366 nt
Filed under: Mycolicibacterium phlei DSM 43239 = CCUG 21000
Lineage: Bacteria; Bacillati; Actinomycetota; Actinomycetes; Mycobacteriales; Mycobacteriaceae
Description: Mycobacterium phlei DSM 43239 = CCUG 21000 cspA thermoregulator
Rfam family: cspA thermoregulator
Source: Rfam by way of RNAcentral